AGCAGCCGCGGUAAUUCCAGCUCCAAUAGCGUAUAUUAAAGUUGUUGCAGUUAAAAAGCUCGUAGUUGAAUUUCGGGAUUGACGUGAUGGUCGUGCCUUAAGGGGUAUGAACUGUUGCUGUUGAUUUCUCACCUUCUGGAGAAACUUGAUGUCCUUAAUUGGGUGUCUUGCGGAUCCAGGACCUUUACCUUGAAAAAUUAGAGUGUUUAAAGCAGGCAUUUUUGCUCGAAUACAUUAGCAUGGAAUAAUAGAAUAGGACGGCAUGGUUCUAUUUUGUUGGUUUCUAGGAUCACCGUAAUGAUUAAUAGGGAUAGUUGGGGGCAUUAGUAUUCAAUUGUCAGAGGUGAAAUUCUUGGAUUUAUUGAAGACUAACUACUGCGAAAGCAUUUGCCAAGGAUGUUUUCAUUAAUCAAGAACGAAAGUUAGGGGAUCGAAGACGAUCAGAUACCGUCGUAGUCUUAACCAUAAACUAUGCCGACUAGGAAUCAGACGAUGUUAAUUUUUAAUGACUCGUUUGGUA
This 520-nucleotide unclassified non-coding RNA is filed under the name uncultured Entrophospora. RNAcentral's name for it is "SSU rRNA". It matches the Rfam family "Eukaryotic small subunit ribosomal RNA", at positions 569 to 1085 of the family's 1831-position model. Lineage: Eukaryota; Fungi; Glomeromycota; Glomeromycetes; Entrophosporales; Entrophosporaceae. The record is from RNAcentral.